Arabidopsis lyrata subsp. lyrata is the source of this 1321-nucleotide long non-coding RNA. RefSeq lists it as uncharacterized. The record is from RefSeq and is a predicted model, not a curated record. The transcript has 2 exons. Lineage: Eukaryota; Viridiplantae; Streptophyta; Magnoliopsida; Brassicales; Brassicaceae.
AAUAUUAUAUUACAAAGUAAAAAUACAAAAUUAAAAAAUAAAAAGUACAUAUAGUAACUGCAUUUAUCAAAUCCAAAACAAUUCAAAUCUAAAUCCCAUUAAGGUCUAGAAACAUUGAAUAUUAACAUCCUACUCUCAUCAAUUUCACCACGUAUAUCUCGAACUUGAUUAUGAGAGUUGUUCUUCCAUUCGCCUUCUUCAAAUCACCAUCCCUUCUUUAAAAAAAAUGUUGCUACUUUUACAGAAUCGUCUUCUCUAAUCUAACACCCGAGCACGAUCCAUCAAGUUGUGUCAACACAGUUCCUUCAAUCCAACCUCCCAUCACGCUGGUCGCCUUCUUCCUCCUCUCAAAAGUUGCAGGUACUUCUAUCUCUGCUUGCAACAUGAAACUUGAUUUUACACCGAUUGCUCAACUAGAGUCUGUGACUGAGAAUGAAAUUUGGAAAAUUAAAGCAUGAGUUGACCGUUUUUGGCUAUUCCAAAAUAAUGAUAAGCCUGGAGAUUCUGAUGUACUUGAUUUAGUACUUGUGGAUGAUAAGGUGGAAAACAAAAUUCAAAUAUAUGUUUAUUUGAUUUAGAUAUUUUUGUACUUUUGUAAUCCAAUUUUUUCUCUUUUAAUGACAGGGAGACCGUAUACAAGCAUGCAUCAGAGGAAAAUUAAUUCAAAAGUUCGAAUAAGAUCUUCAAGAAGGAGAAUGUCGUAUACUGAUGAAUUUUAAGUUGUCUCCUAAUUUUGGGAGUUACAGGGCAACUGGACACUCUUUCAAAAUCUUUCUCACUUGGUCAACAAUUGUGAAGCCUUGUGAGGAAAUCCCAAACCAAUCACUUCGUUUCAGUUUCAUCCCUUUUGAUAAGCUUCAGAGACAUGACGAAAACCCUUGGUACGUGUUGGUGAAAUCGUUGGAAUGAAUGAUCUUAAGGAAAUUACUGUUCGCAAUGCUCCAUCUAAAUUGCUGAAUGUUCAACUCAAGAGCCUUGAGUUAGUAACUUCCAACUUGGUAGUCAUUAUUAUUAAUCUAUUAUGUCUCUCUUUUCAAAAUCGUGUUCUUAUAUAUGCAGUGAUUCAAUAAUUGAUUGUGUAUUUUGGGGAUUGUGGCAUAGUGAACAUUACCGAAAUCAGAUUUGGGGAUUGAAACGAACGUCUUUAGAUAUCACCGGCCAGACAUCGAGCUGCACCCAGAUUUACUUACAUCUUUCAUCUUUUCGUGAUGAUAUGUGUCGAACGAACGAAAUCGAAUUUUUUUUCUCAGAAAUCGAACUGCAACUAUAUCACUUUUUGUUUCCUGAGACUCUCAUCGAAAUCGAGCUACACUUAGAUCAA